GUAUGCACGCGCAAGUGCGUUUGACUACUUCUAAUUGCAGACUGUAACAGGUGGACACCAACUGAGUUCGAGAGACAUCUCAAGAUUCAAGAAAACAGGGUGCCACAGACUGCCUGACCACAAUGGAGUGCCACAGCAAAGGGUCUGAAUACUUUAUAGGUAAUGACCUGGGGGUGGAAUCAGGCAGAUUUGUCUUUGUGAAGGACCCAUGAAUCAAGCCAAGGUUCUCCUGUAAGAAAACGUACUUCCUUGUGCUCCGACAAUGUUCCUCAGCAGGAUGAUGCUCCAUGCCACACAGGCAGGAGGAAACUGGAGCACCUGGAGGAAACCCACACGGACACGGGGAGAACAUGCAAACUCCACACAGAAAGGACCCGGACCCAGGACCUUCUUGCUGUGAGGCGACAGUCCUACAGAAAUGAAAUCUGCUGCUGUGGGAGGGAAUGUUUCCGUCCACCAUGUGCCGGUUUGUCUGCUGCAGCACCUCCUGCUUCACCAUUUUCAACUAUUAAUUCAUCGUCUUCUCCAACAGACUCCAGACGGCUGCCACCUGAUUACACCAAUAUCAUUAAUAAAAAAUUUACAUUUACAGAUGAUACAUCAUCUUCUGGAUAUAAAU
This is a long non-coding RNA of Trichomycterus rosablanca, 619 nucleotides long. RefSeq lists it as uncharacterized. The record is from RefSeq and is a predicted model, not a curated record. The transcript is spliced from 5 exons. Lineage: Eukaryota; Metazoa; Chordata; Actinopteri; Siluriformes; Trichomycteridae.